Molecule: unclassified non-coding RNA, 195 nt
Filed under: plant metagenome
Description: partial contains small subunit ribosomal RNA, internal transcribed spacer 1, and 5.8S ribosomal RNA
Source: RNAcentral
UCUCCGUUGGUGAACCAGCGGAGGGAUCAUUACCGAGUUUACAACUCCCAAACCCCUGUGAACAUACCAUUUGUUGCUUCGGCGGUGCCUGCUUCGGCAGCCCGCCAGAGGACCCAAACCCUUGAUUUUAUACAGUAUCUUCUGAGUAAAUGAUUAAAUAAAUCAAAACUUUCAACAACGGAUCUCUUGGUUCUG